UACGUAGGGGGCAAGCGUUGUCCGGAAUCAUUGGGCGUAAAGAGCGUGUAGGCGGCCUAGUAAGUCCGCUGUGAAAGUCCAGGGCUCAACCCUGGAAUGCCGGUGGAAACUGUCAGGCUCGAGUCCGGAAGAGGCGAGUGGAAUUCCUGGUGUAGCGGUGAAAUGCGCAGAUAUCAGGAGGAACACCAAUGGCGAAGGCAGCUCGCUGGGACGGUACUGACGCUGAGACGCGAAAGCGUGGGGAGCAAACAGG
This 253-nucleotide ribosomal RNA is filed under the name uncultured bacterium. RNAcentral describes it as "partial 16S ribosomal RNA". It matches the Rfam family "Bacterial small subunit ribosomal RNA", at positions 524 to 776 of the family's 1533-position model. The record is from RNAcentral.